This 1465-nucleotide ribosomal RNA is filed under the name uncultured Bordetella sp. Its description in RNAcentral is "partial 16S-23S ribosomal RNA intergenic spacer". Lineage: Bacteria; Pseudomonadati; Pseudomonadota; Betaproteobacteria; Burkholderiales; Alcaligenaceae. The record is from RNAcentral.
UUACCUUGUUGUUCACUGAAGUCAUGAAUCCUACUGUGUGGCUCGCCUCCCUUACGGUUAGGCCUUCACUUCUGGUAAAACCCACUCAUGAACAACGACGGGCGGUGUGUACAAGACCCGGGGAACGUAUUCACCGCGACAUGCUGAUCCACGAUUGCACUAGCGAUUCCGACUUCACGCAGUCGAGUUGCAGACUUUGAUCAGGACUACGAUCGGACUUCACAGGAUUGGCUCCUCGCGGGUUGGCGACCCUCUGUCCCGGCAUUGUACGCUGACGUCGAAGGCCCUACCCAUAAAGGCCGCCAGGGGCUGACGUCAUCCCCACCUUCCUCCGGUUUAUGCCGGCGAUCUCAUUAGGUGCCCUUUCGUAGCAACCAACGACAAGGGUUGCCGCUCGUUGCAGGACUUAACCCCAGCAUCCACCACGACACGAGCUGACGACAGCCAUGCGGCACCUGUGUUCCGGUUCUCUUGCGGCUUUACUCCAAAUCUCUUCGGGAUUUGGAGCAUGUAUCUGGUGAUGGUUUUUGGUGCAUCAGACCAGUAUCAUCAUCACCGCUUGUGCAGGUCCCGUCAAUUCCUUUGUUUUAAAUCUUGCGACCGUACUCCCCGAGCGGUCAAACUUUACGCGAUUAGCUGCGCUACCAGGCCAGAAGGCCCCAACAGCUAGUUGACAUCUGCGUUUGGGCGUGGACUGCAGGGUAUCUAAUCCUGUUUUGCUCCUUUCAGUAUGACGUCGAUGUUAUCCCAGGAGGCUGCCUUCGCCAUCUAGGUGUUCUCCGCAUAUCACAUUUUCACUGCUACACGCGGAAUUCACCUCCACUCUGGCGCUUACACUCUAGCUCCGGUAGUUAAAGUAAGUUCCAAAGUUAAGCUCUGGUUCAUCUUUUUCUUUUCCAGACACCCUGCGCACGCUUUACGCCCAGUAAUUCCGAUUAACGCUUGCACAGCUAUUACCACGGCUGCUGGCACAUGUGCGCCGGUGCUUAUUCUUACCCGUUCGUCAGUUGCACGGGGUAUUAUCCCGUGCCGUUUUCUUCCUGCCAAAGUGCUUUACAACCGAAAGGCCUUCCAUCUCUUGCAGGGAUGGCUGCGGAUCAGGUUUUGUUGUCCAUUCCCCACUGCACCUGCCUCCGCAAAGUCUGGCCAAUGUCAGUCCCAAGUGUGGCUGGUCAUUCUCUCACGACAACACGGAUCGUCAUGUGGUGAGCGAACAUACCCCACCAACUUUAGCUAAUCCGAUAUCGACCGCUCCUAACAGGCACCCGAGGCCCGAAGGUCCCCGCUUUCCCCCGAAGGAGCGUGUGCGGUAAACAGCUGCAACUUUCGCGUAGUUAUCCCGCUACUAUGGGCACGUUCCGGUAAUGCAUUACUCACCCGUUCGCCACUCGCCUGGAGCAAGAAGAUCAGUGCACCGUUCGACUUGCACUUCUGUAAAGCAUCCAUAACGUUCAAUCGUGCGACC